RNAcentral lists this ribosomal RNA (291 nucleotides) under uncultured bacterium. Its description in RNAcentral is "partial 16S ribosomal RNA". It matches the Rfam family "Bacterial small subunit ribosomal RNA", at positions 505 to 796 of the family's 1533-position model. The record is from RNAcentral.
GUGCCAGCCGCCGCGGUAAUACGGAGGGUGCAAGCGUUGUCCGGAAUCACUGGGUGUAAAGGGUGUGCAGGCGGGGCAACAAGUCGGAGGUGAAAGCCCAUGGCUCAACCAUGGGGUGCCUUCGAAACUGUUGCUCUUGAGUCCCGGAGAGGUUGUCGGAAUUCGUGGUGUAGCGGUGAAAUGCGUAGAUAUCACGAGGAACACCAGAGGCGAAAGCGGACAACUGGACGUGUACUGACGCUCAGGCACGAAAGCGUGGGGAGCAAACAGGAUUAGAAACCCGAGUAGUCC